GUGAAUCAUCGAAUCUUUGAACGCAAAUUGCACUCUCUGGCAUUACGGAGCGUAUGCCUGUUUGAGGGUCAGUUUAAAUAAAAAUCGAGGUGUUGCUGUUUUGUGACGCAUCGGAAUUGGGUUAUUUUUGACCUUUUAAUAAGUCUACGUGACCUAAAAUUGAUACUUUGUGCAUCUCAGCCGUAC
Molecule: unclassified non-coding RNA, 186 nt
Filed under: Glomeraceae sp.
Lineage: Eukaryota; Fungi; Glomeromycota; Glomeromycetes; Glomerales; Glomeraceae
Description: partial contains 5.8S ribosomal RNA and internal transcribed spacer 2
Rfam family: 5.8S ribosomal RNA (bases 1-71)
Source: RNAcentral